This 253-nucleotide ribosomal RNA is filed under the name uncultured bacterium. RNAcentral describes it as "partial 16S ribosomal RNA". It matches the Rfam family "Bacterial small subunit ribosomal RNA", at positions 524 to 776 of the family's 1533-position model. The record is from RNAcentral.
UACGUAGGGGGCAAGCGUUGUCCGGAUUUAUUGGGCGUAAAGCGCGUGUAGGUGGCUUUACAGGUCCGCUGUGAAAACUUGAGGCUCAACCUCGAGACGUCGGCGGAAACCGUAUGGCUAGAGUCCGGAAGAGGAGAGCGGAAUUCCUGGUGUAGCGGUGAAAUGCGCAGAUAUCAGGAAGAACACCCGUGGCGAAGGCGGCUCUCUGGGACGGUACUGACACUGAGACGCGAAAGCGUGGGGAGCGAACAGG